RNAcentral lists this ribosomal RNA (520 nucleotides) under uncultured bacterium. RNAcentral's name for it is "bacterial SSU rRNA". It matches the Rfam family "Bacterial small subunit ribosomal RNA", at positions 26 to 518 of the family's 1533-position model. The record is from RNAcentral.
AGGACGAACGCUGGCGGCGUGCCUAAUACAUGCAAGUCGAACGGUCUUUCUAUGGAAGCUUGCUCCACUGAGAAGAUAGUGGCGAACGGGUGAGUAACACGUGGGUAACCUGCCCAUAAGAGGGGGGAUAACAUCCGGAAACGGGUGCUAAUACCGCAUAGUUUUUCUCGAUCGCAUGAUCGGGAAAGGAAAGACGGCCUUUGUGCUGUCGCUUAUGGAUGGACCCGCGGCGUAUUAGUUAGUUGGUGAGGUAACGGCUCACCAAGACGAUGAUACGUAGCCGACCUGAGAGGGUGAUCGGCCACAUUGGGACUGAGACACGGCCCAAACUCCUACGGGAGGCAGCAGUAGGGAAUCUUCCGCAAUGGACGAAAGUCUGACGGAGCAACGCCGCGUGAGUAGAAGAAGGUUUUCGGAUCGUAAAACUCUGUUGUCAGAGAAGAACAAGUUGGAGAGUAACUGCUCCAGCCUUGACGGUAUCUGACCAGAAAGCCACGGCUAACUACGUGCCAGCCGCCGC